GUGUUCACUUCUGCAGCACAUAUACUAAAAUUGUAACAAUACAGAGAUUAGCAUGGCCCCUGCACAAGGAUGACAUGCAAAUUCAUGAAGCGUUCCAUAUUUUU
Small nuclear RNA from Bos taurus (domestic cattle), 104 nucleotides. NCBI's taxonomy places the organism in Eukaryota, Metazoa, Chordata, Mammalia, Artiodactyla, Bovidae. The record is from Ensembl.